RNAcentral lists this ribosomal RNA (253 nucleotides) under uncultured bacterium. RNAcentral describes it as "partial 16S ribosomal RNA". It matches the Rfam family "Bacterial small subunit ribosomal RNA", at positions 524 to 776 of the family's 1533-position model. The record is from RNAcentral.
UACGUAGGGUGCGAGCGUUAAUCGGAAUUACUGGGCGUAAAGCGUGCGCAGGCGGUUCGUGAUGUCUGAUGUGAAAGCCCCGGGCUCAACCCGGGAAGUGCGUUGGAAACUGCGAGACUAGAGUCUCGGAGAGGAAGGUGGAAUUCCAGGUGUAGCGGUGAAAUGCGUAGAUAUCUGGAAGAACACCGGUGGCGAAGGCGGCCUUCUGGACGAUGACUGACGCUGAGACGCGAAAGCGUGGGGAGCAAACAGG